This 74-nucleotide transfer RNA is filed under the name Anguilla anguilla (European eel). RNAcentral describes it as "tRNA-OTHER". Lineage: Eukaryota; Metazoa; Chordata; Actinopteri; Anguilliformes; Anguillidae. The record is from RNAcentral.
GUAUAGAAGUACACAGUGGGUAAGGAGCUGGUCUUGUAACCUAAAGGUCCCAGGUUCGAUUCCUGGGUUGGGCA